GACGAACGCUGGCGGCGUGCUUAACACAUGCCAGUCGAACGGAAAGGCCUGCUUUCCCUUGUGGAUUGCGGGUACUCGAGUGGCGAACGGGUGAGUAACACGUGAGUGAUCUGCCCCCAACUUGGGUAUAAGCCUGGGAAACUGGGUCUAAUUCCCGAUAGGACUGCAGGGUGGUGCCUGUGGUGGAACACGAUUUUCUAGUGGUUGGGGAUGAGCUCGCGGCCUAUCAGCUUGUUGGUGGGGUAAUGGCCUACCAAGGCGGCGACGGGUAGCCGGCCUGGGAGGGUGGACGGCCACAUUGGGACUGGGAUACGGCCCAGACUCCUACGGGAGGAAGCAGUGGGGAAUAUUGCACAAUGGGCGGAAGCCUGAUGCAGCGACGCCGCGUGGGGGAUGACGGACUUCGGGUUGUUAACUCCUUUCGACCGCGAGGAAGCCACCUGGUUGGAAGGGUGGUGACGGUAGUGGUAGAAGAAGCACCGGCUAACUACGUG
This 494-nucleotide ribosomal RNA is filed under the name uncultured bacterium. RNAcentral describes it as "partial 16S ribosomal RNA". It matches the Rfam family "Bacterial small subunit ribosomal RNA", at positions 28 to 507 of the family's 1533-position model. The record is from RNAcentral.